UAAAGAAAGCGUAACAGCUCACUGGUCUAAAUAAGAGAUCCUGCGGCGAAGAUGUAACGGGGCUAAAGUGAUGCACCGAAGCUUAGGGUUGCAGUUUACUGCAGCGGUAGCGGAGCGUUCCGUAAGUGGUUGAAGCCGAAGGGUAACCGACGGUGGACAUAUCGGAAGUGCGAAUGCUGACAUGAGUAGCGAUAAAGAGGGUGA
Molecule: ribosomal RNA, 204 nt
Filed under: Oxyrrhis marina
Lineage: Eukaryota; Dinophyceae; Oxyrrhinales; Oxyrrhinaceae
Description: partial Bacterial large subunit ribosomal RNA
Rfam family: Bacterial large subunit ribosomal RNA
Source: RNAcentral